GCUUAACACAUGCAAGUUGAACGGUAUUGUGAUGUGCUUGCACAUUAUGAGAGAGUAGCGCACUGGUGAGUAACACGUGGGAACAUGCCCUUAAGUAAGGAACAACAGUUGGAAACGACUGCUAAUACCAUAUACGCCCUGAGGGGGAAAGAUUUAUCGCUUAAGGAUUGGCCCGCGGCACAUUAGGUAGUUGGUGGGGUAAAGGCCUACCAAGCCGACGAUCUAUAGCUGGUCUGAGAGGACGAUCAGCCACAUUGGAACUGAGACACGGUCCAGACUCCUACGGGAGGCAGCAGUGAGGAAUAUUGGGCAAUGGAGGGAACUCUGACCCAGCCAUGCCGCGUGAAGGAUGAAGGCGUAUUCGUUGUAAACUUCUUUUGCCAAUGUAGAGAUACAUUGGAGAAUAAGCACCUGCUAAUCUCGUGCCAGCCGCCGCGGUAA
Molecule: ribosomal RNA, 441 nt
Filed under: uncultured bacterium
Lineage: Bacteria
Description: partial 16S ribosomal RNA
Rfam family: Bacterial small subunit ribosomal RNA
Source: RNAcentral